This 116-nucleotide ribosomal RNA is filed under the name uncultured bacterium. RNAcentral describes it as "partial 16S ribosomal RNA". It matches the Rfam family "Bacterial small subunit ribosomal RNA", at positions 1358 to 1482 of the family's 1533-position model. The record is from RNAcentral.
UACGGUGAAUACGUUCCCGGACCUUGUACACACCGCCCGUCAAGCCAUGGAAGCCGGGUGUACCUAAAGUCGGUAACCGCAAGGAGCCGCCUAGGGUAAAACUGGAGACUGGGGCU